RNAcentral lists this ribosomal RNA (120 nucleotides) under Carassius auratus (goldfish). The record is from RNAcentral. Lineage: Eukaryota; Metazoa; Chordata; Actinopteri; Cypriniformes; Cyprinidae.
GCUUACGGCCAUACCAACCUGGCUAUGCCCGAUCUGUCUGAUGAUCUCGGAGCUAAGCAGGUUGGGCCUGGUUAGUACUUUGGAUGGGAGACCGCCUGGGAAUACCAGGUGCUGUAAGCU